This 485-nucleotide ribosomal RNA is filed under the name uncultured bacterium. RNAcentral describes it as "partial 16S ribosomal RNA". It matches the Rfam family "Bacterial small subunit ribosomal RNA", at positions 28 to 523 of the family's 1533-position model. The record is from RNAcentral.
GACGAACGCUGGCGGCGUGCUUAACACAUGCAAGUCGAACGGUGAAGGUGGAGCUUGCUCCGCCGGAUCAGUGGCGAACGGGUGAGUAACACGUGGGCAACCUGCCCCUCACUUCGGGAUAACUCCGGGAAACCGGGGCUAAUACCGGAUACGACCUCCUUGGGCAUCCUUGGAGGUGGAAAGUUUUUCGGUGAGGGAUGGGCCCGCGGCCUAUCAGCUUGUUGGUGAGGUAGUGGCUCACCAAGGCGACGACGGGUAGCCGGCCUUAGAGGGCGACCGGCCACAGUGGGACUGAGACACGGCCCAGACUCAUACGGAGGGCAGCAGUGGGGAAUAUUGCGCAAUGGGCGGAAGCCUGACGCAGCUACGCCGCGUGCGGGAUGAAGGCCUUCGGGUUGUAAACCGCUUUCAGCAGGGAAGAAGCCGCAAGGUGACGGUACCUGCAGAAGAAGCACCGGCUAACUACGUGCCAGCCGCCGCAGUAA